GACGAACGCUGGCGGCGUGCUUAACACAUGCAAGUCGAGCGGUAAGGCCCUUUCGGGGGUACACGAGCGGCGAACGGGUGAGUAACACGUGGGUGACCUGCCCUCAGCUCUGGGAUAAGCCUGGGAAACUGGGUCUAAUACUGGAUAUGACUCCACGGUGCAUGUCGUGGGGUGGAAAGCCUUGUGCGGCUGAGGAUGGGCCCGCGGCCUAUCAGCUUGUUGGUGGGGUGANGGCCUACCAAGGCGACGACGGGUAGCCGGCCUGAGAGGGCGACCGGCCACACUGGGACUGAGACACGGCCCAGACUCCUACGGGAGGCAGCAGUGGGGAAUUGUUCGCAAUGGGCGCAAGCCUGACGACGCAACGCCGCGUGGAGGAUGAAGACUUUC
This 390-nucleotide ribosomal RNA is filed under the name uncultured bacterium. RNAcentral's name for it is "bacterial SSU rRNA". It matches the Rfam family "Bacterial small subunit ribosomal RNA", at positions 28 to 419 of the family's 1533-position model. The record is from RNAcentral.